This 430-nucleotide ribosomal RNA is filed under the name Bacillota bacterium. RNAcentral's name for it is "Firmicutes bacterium partial 16S ribosomal RNA". It matches the Rfam family "Bacterial small subunit ribosomal RNA", at positions 355 to 776 of the family's 1533-position model. The record is from RNAcentral. Lineage: Bacteria; Bacillati; Bacillota.
UGGGGAAUAUUGGACAAUGGGCGAAAGCCUGAUCCAGCCAUGCCGCGUGUGUGAAGAAGGCCUUUUGGUUGUAAAGCACUUUAAGCGAGGAGGAGGCUACUUGGAUUAAUACUCUAGGAUAGUGGACGUUACUCGCAGAAUAAGCACCGGCUAACUCUGUGCCAGCAGCCGCGGUAAUACAGAGGGUGCGAGCGUUAAUCGGAUUUACUGGGCGUAAAGCGUGCGUAGGCGGCUUUUUAAGUCGGAUGUGAAAUCCCUGAGCUUAACUUAGGAAUUGAAUUCGAUACUGGGAAGCUAGAGUAUGGGAGAGGAUGGUAGAAUUCCAGGUGUAGCGGUGAAAUGCGUAGAGAUCUGGAGGAAUACCGAUGGCGAAGGCAGCCAUCUGGCCUAAUACUGACGCUGAGGUACGAAAGCAUGGGGAGCAAACAGG